Molecule: ribosomal RNA, 468 nt
Filed under: Escherichia coli
Lineage: Bacteria; Pseudomonadati; Pseudomonadota; Gammaproteobacteria; Enterobacterales; Enterobacteriaceae
Description: bacterial SSU rRNA
Rfam family: Bacterial small subunit ribosomal RNA
Source: RNAcentral
UGCCUGAUGGAGGGGGAUAACUACUGGAACGGUAGCUAAUACCGCAUAACGUCGCAAGACCAAAGAGGGGGACCUUCGGGCCUCUUGCCAUCGGAUGUGCCCAGAUGGGAUUAGCUUGUUGGUGGGGUAACGGCUCACCAAGGCGACGAUCCCUAGCUGGUCUGAGAGGAUGACCAGCCACACUGGAACUGAGACACGGUCCAGACUCCUACGGGAGGCAGCAGUGGGGAAUAUUGCACAAUGGGCGCAAGCCUGAUGCAGCCAUGCCGCGUGUAUGAAGAAGGCCUUCGGGUUGUAAAGUACUUUCAGCGGGGAGGAAGGGAGUAAAGUUAAUACCUUUACUCAUUGACGUUACCCGCAGAAGAAGCACCGGCUAACUCCGUGCCAGCAGCCGCGGUAAUACGGAGGGUGCAAGCGUUAAUCGGAAUUACUGGGCGUAAAGCGCACGCAGGCGGUUUGUUAAGUCAG